UACGCGAGGAACCUUACCUGGGCUUAAAUGAGGAGUGACGAGCUGGCGAAAGUUGGUUUUCUUCGGACACUCUUCAAGGUGCUGCAUGGUUGUCGUCAGCUCGUGCCGUGAGGUGUCGGGUUAAGUCCCAUAACGAGCGCAACCCUUACUGUUAGUUGCCAGCGGGUAAUGCCGGGAACUCUAGCGGGACUGCCACCGUAAGGUGAGAGGAAGGUGGGGAUGACGUCAAAUCAGCACGGCCCUUAUGUCCAGGGCUACACACGUGUUACAAUGGCCGGUACAAAGGGCAGCUACACCGCGAGGUGAUGCUAAUCUCGAAAGCCGGUCUCAGUUCGGAUCGAAGUCUGCAACCCGACUUCGUGAAGUUGGAUUCGCUAGUAAUCGCGCAUCAGCCAUGGCGCGGUGAAUACGUUCCCGGGCCUU
Molecule: ribosomal RNA, 423 nt
Filed under: uncultured Sphingobacteriales bacterium
Lineage: Bacteria; Pseudomonadati; Bacteroidota; Sphingobacteriia; Sphingobacteriales
Description: bacterial SSU rRNA
Rfam family: Bacterial small subunit ribosomal RNA
Source: RNAcentral